CCUGAAUUGGUUAAUGUACUUUUUUUUCUCCUUGAUAUUGUUUCAAGCUUUCCAUUUGAUCACAAGAAGGAAAUUGGGAAGAUCCCAUAAGCUUCCGCCCGGUCCACCAACAAUUCCGAUCUUCGAGAACCUUUUCCAGGUUGGUGAUAAACCCCAUAGGUCCCUUGCCAAACUUGCCAAGAUUCAUGGGGACAUCAUGACUCUGAAACUUGGCCAGACUACUACCGUAGUUUUUUCAUCUGCAACAAUGGCCAAAGAAAUCUUCCAAAAGCAUGAUGCCGUAUCUUGUAACCGAACCAUUCCCGAUGCCCUUCGUGCCCUUCAACAUCACGAAGCCGGAUUGCCUUGGAUGCCUGUUUCAACCACAUGGAGAAAUCUUAGGAAAAUCUGCAAUUUGCAUAUUUUCGCUACUCAUAAACUUGACGCUAAUCAAUACUUGAGGCGCAGCAAAGUAGAACAACUCCUUGCUGGUGUUCGCGAAAGUUCCCUCAUCGGAGAAGCGAUUGAGAUACGUUAAGCUGCUUUCAAAACUACGCUUAGUCUCAUAUCAAAUACUAUUUUCUCCAUUGAUUUAGCCGACUCUACUCAUACUUCUGAGGAGUUGUUAAGUUUAGUUCCCAUGCAAAGGUGGCCAUGCACGACAUACAAAGGUGGUCAUGCUCCUGGAAUCGCAGCAAGCAGUGGUGCCAUGGUGUGCAGCAAUUAAAGUUUGAAGCUGCCAAUCUAUUUGCUAUUUUAGUUUCAUUUUGAUUGUUUUGUAAUCUAGUUCAUGUUGAACUAAGUAGGUAAAUGUUUUGAUAUUGAUUGACUGAAAAGUCAGCAAUGCAAGUUGUACAAGCUAAUCUUGUAAGUUUCAAUGCAAAUUAGUGGAGUUAGGUAGUUGAUUAGGUGAUUACUUGUUUGUUUUACUUAUUGACUAAUAUAUGUAAUGGCUUAAUGCCUUGUUGUAAUGUUAAUGAAAGAUAUCAGCUCUUUUUCAUUCAAUCUUCUUCUCUCUUUUCUGUUUUUUCACUUGCUAGUUUCAUCUUUCUGUUUUCUGCUUCCGAGCUUGCUUCUUCACCAAGGCUCGAGACUUACUACUCAAGCAAGACUUGAAACAGUUUGUUGCUGCCUCUUGCACCAACAAUUGGUAUCGAGAGCUCUUGUCUUAGUGGACCUGUUGCUUCAAAACAAGGAACUUGAUGGCUUCUUCAGGAUUUUCACCAGCAGCCCCACCAGUCUUCAAUGGAGAAGGCUUUCACAUAUGGCUGGUCAAGAUGAAGACUUACCUACAGGCCUUCGAUCUGUGGGAAGUUGUCAACACAGAUACUGAGCCAGCACCACUGAGGGCUAAUCCCACAGUAGCUCAGAUGAGGCAACAUGCUGAUGAGAGGACCAAAAGGCACAAAGCCAUGUCCUGCAUCCAGAACUGUGUGUCAGAUGUCAUCUUCACCAGAAUCAUGGCCUGUGAGACUCCAAAACAGGCCUGGGAUAAGCUUAAGGAGGAGUUUCAAGGCACUGAGAGAACAAGGCAACAGCAGCUGUUAAACUUGAGAAGGGAUUUCGAGAAUUUGAAGAUGAAGGAAGAAGAAACAGUGAAGCAGUACUCAGAUAGAAUUAUGGCAGUGGUUAACAGUAUAAGGCUCCUAGGUGAGCACUUUGAUGAGGCAAGAAUUGUGGAGAAAGUUCUCUCCACUUUGCCUGAGAGAUAUGAGGCCAAGAUAUCCUCCCUAGAGGACUCAAGAGACCUUGCUAGCAUCUCUUUGACUGAGUUAAUCAACACCUUCUAUGCUCAGGAACAAAGGAGAGCUAGCAGAGCUGAAGAUCACCAAGAAGGUGCAUUUCAAGCCAAGGCCAGAGAAACCUCGAGCAUUAAUGCUCAAAGAGGCAAAAAGCCUUGGAAAAACAGGCCUAAGCCUGAUGUUGCAAGAAGCAAUGACCAACCCUGCAGAUAUUGCAAGAAGCCUGGCCAUCCAGAAGACAGAUGCUGGUUUAGGCCAGAUGCAGUAUGUCAACACUGCAAGAAGAAGGGCCAUGUUGAAAGGGUCUGCAAAAACAGAAGUAAGCCAAGGCAGAAUCAAUUUCAGCAGUCAAAGGUUGAAGCUCGAGUAGCUGAGGACAGUAGUGACCAAGAAGAACAGGUCUUUGCUGUUUCCUGUGUAGCUUCUGAGAAGAAAUGCUCCAAAGGCUGGUUGCUGGACAGUGGUUGCACUAACCACAUGUCACCAGAUGCCUCCUUGUUUAAAACCUUGGACAGAAGUUAUAAAACCAAGGUCAAGGUUGGAAAUGGUCAGUUUAUAAGGGCUGAAGGAAGAGGAGAAGUGCUGAUAUGUACUCCCACAGGCAACAAGAUCAUUCCAAAUGUGCUGUUGGUACCACAAAUUGACAGAAACCUUCUCAGCAUAGCUCAACUGCUCGAGAAAGGUUAUUCUAUUGUGUUCAAAGAUAAACAAUGCCACAUUACUGAUCCAAGUGGAUCAAGCCUUAUGACAGUCACAAUGACUGAUAAAUGCUUUGAGGUUCACUGGGCAAAUGACUCAAACUCAGCAUACACAGCCUCUGUUGAAGACUCCAAGCUUUGGCAUCAAAGGCUUGGACAUGCUAACUUCAGAUCAAUGGCUCGAUUGGCCAAAGAGGGCUUGGCAGAGAACUUCAUCAGCUCAGUGGAGCAUGAUGAUGUGUGUGAAGUUUGCCAAAUGGGGAAACAGGCAAGAUUGCCAUUUCCUACAAAUUCAGCUUGGAGAGCUACUGAAAGACUGCAGCUGGUGCACUCUGAUGUAUGUGGCCCGAUGAGGACUGAAUCACUCAGCAAAAACAGGUAUUUCAUCCUCUUUAUUGAUGAUCUUACAAGGUUUUGCUGGAUUUUCUUUUUAAAACACAAGUCUGAGGUAGCUCAAGUGUUUGUGAAGUUUAAAAAUGCUGUAGAAACAGAAACAGGUUGCAAGCUGAAAUCGAUAAGGACUGACAAUGGCACUGAGUACACUUCAGCUCAAUUUCAAGCCAUUUGCAAUGAUGCUGGUAUCAAACAUUAGCUUACAAAUGUCUACACACCUCAGCAGAAUGGGGUAGCUGAAAGAAAGAAUAGAAGUCUGAUGGAUAUGGCCAGAUGUCUGCUGUUUGAGAAGGAACUGCCCAAAACUAUGUGGGCUGAGGCAGUAAACACUGCUGUUUACCUUCAGAACAGGCUUCCUACUAAAGCUCUUGCAUCCGAGACACCUUUCGAGGCUUGGUUCAGUUUCAAACCUUCCUUGGCACAUCUGAAGGUGUUUGGUUGCCUGUGUUAUGCACAAAUACCAGCAGCAAAGAGAGACAAGCUCUCCAAAAGGGCUCAACCAGGUGUUCUAGUAGGCUACAGCUCAGUCAAGAAGGGCUACAGGGUUCUGGAUCCCUUGACAAACAAAGUCCAGGUGAGCAGAGAUGUCAUCUUUGAUGAAAAAGCCUGCUGGAAUUGGGAGAAAAAUGAGCCAGAAGCAGUUUCAGAAGACCUAGUGCCUAAUCAAGCUGAACCUGAGCAGCUAGGACCUGAAAUGGAUGUUGAUGAUGUGCCUGUGAGAGGCACAAGGCCCCUAGAUGAUGUUUAUGAAAGGGCACAGGUUGCAAUAGCAGAACCUAGCAGUUUUGAAGAGGCUGAGGCAGAUGAAGGCAGGAAACUAGCUAUGGUCAAUGAAAUCAACAUGAUUGAAAAGAACCAGACAUGGGAGCUAGUUGAUAAACCUGUUGGAAAGAAGACCAUUGGAGUAAAAUGGGUCUAUCGAGUAAAACAGAAUGCAGAUGGCAGUCUGAACAAGCUAAAAGCCAGGCUUGUUGUCAAAGGAUUUAGCCAAAGGUAUGGUCUGGACUACCUGGAGACAUUUGCACCAGUAGCCAGGCUUGACACAGUCAGAAUGAUAGUUGCUUUGGCUGCUCAACAUCAGUGGAUCAUUCAUCAGCUUGAUGUUAAGUCUGCAUUUCUCAAUGGUUUCCUGGAAGAAGAGAUCUACAUCGAGCAGCCUCAAGGAUUUGUGAUCACUGGCAAAGAACACAUGGUGUACAGACUGAAAAAGGCUUUAUAUGGCCUGAAACAGGCUCCUCGAGCCUGGUAUGCUCGAAUUGACUCUUACUUACUCAGUUUGGAAUUUGAGAGAAGUCCCAGUGAACCAACACUGUAUGUGAAGAAGAACCAAGCUGAAACUCAGCUUAUUCUGUCACUCUAUGUUGAUGAUCUAUUGGUAACUGGAGGAGAUAGAAGAAUGCUGGAAAAUUUCAAAAGAAAAAUGAUGGAAAUGUUUGAAAUGUCUGAUUUAGGCAGAAUGAACUACUUCCUUGGAAUGGAAGUGAACCAAACAGAAAAGGGAAUCUUUCUUAGUCAGAGUUCUUUUACUAUGAAGAUCCUGGACAAGUUCUCUAUGAAGAACUGCAAGCCAACAAGCACACCAAUGGCUGUUGGAGUGAAGCUUUCGAGACAAGGGAGUGGUGAACCAAUUUGCGAGGCCAUGUACAAGAUUCUCAUUGGUAGUCUGUUGUAUUUGACUGCCACAAGGCCCGAUAUCAUGUUUGCUGUUAGUGUGCUAUCAAGAUACAUGAAUUGCUGCAAUGAUCAGCACUUUCAAGCAGCUAAAAGGGUGCUAAGAUACAUCAAAGGCACCAUUAGUCAUGGUGUAUUGUUAAAAAGGGCUGAAAACAUGAAGCUGAUAGGCUAUGUUGAUAGUGACUGGGCUGGAUCAAGUGAUGACAUGAGGAGCACAUCCGGAUAUGCAUUCAGUCUUGGCUCAGGCAUGUUUUGCUGGAGUUCUAAGAAACAAAGUCUGGUGGCACAAUCAACAGCAGAAGCUGAAUAUGUUGCUGCUGCAUCAGCUGUGAACCAAGCCAUAUGGCUUAGAAAAAUCUUAGCUGAUUUAAACCAAAACCAAAAGGAGGCAACAGAGAUUUAUUGUGACAACAAAUCUGCUGUUGCAAUUGCAAAAAAUCCCAUUUUUCAUGGCAGAACCAAGCACUUCAAUAUUAAGUUGCAUGUUAUAAGGGAGAUGGAACAAGCUCAUGAAAUCGAGCUGAUUCAUUGCAAUUCAGAAGUGCAAAUUGCUGAUAUCUUCACAAAGGCACUCAAUGUGUCUAAAUUUGUUAAAUUCAAAAGGGAAUUAGGUGUUACUAGCAUGGAAACUAAGGAGGAGUGUUAAGUUUAGUUCCCAUGCAAAGGUGGCCAUGCACGACAUACAAAGGUGGUCAUGCUCCUGGAAUCGCAGCAAGCAGUGGUGCCAUGGUGUGCAGCAAUUAAAGUUUGAAGCUGCCAAUCUAUUUGCUGUUUUAGUUUCAUUUUGAUUGUUUUGUAAUCUAGUUCAUGUUGAACUAAGUAGGUAAAUGUUUUGAUAUUGAUUGACUGAAAAGUCAGCAAUGCAAGUUGUACAAGCUAAUCUUGUAAGUUUCAAUGCAAAUUAGUGGAGUUAGGUAGUUGAUUAGGUGAUUACUUGUUUGUUUUACUUAUUGACUAAUAUAUGUAAUGGCUUAAUGCCUUGUUGUAAUGUUAAUGAAAGAUAUCAGCUCUUUUUCAUUCAAUCUUCUUCUCUCUUUUCUGUUUUUUCACUUGCUAGUUUCAUCUUUCUGUUUUCUGCUUCCGAGCUUGCUUCUUCACCAAGGCUCGAGACUUACUACUCAAGCAAGACUUGAAACAGUUUGUUGCUGCCUCUUGCACCAACAGGAGUUCCGAGAAAUUGUGCGGGG
This 5673-nucleotide long non-coding RNA is filed under the name Gossypium barbadense (sea-island cotton). Its description in RNAcentral is "long non-coding RNA (GBAR_LNC007662)". The record is from RNAcentral. Lineage: Eukaryota; Viridiplantae; Streptophyta; Magnoliopsida; Malvales; Malvaceae.